This 500-nucleotide ribosomal RNA is filed under the name uncultured bacterium. RNAcentral describes it as "partial 16S ribosomal RNA". It matches the Rfam family "Bacterial small subunit ribosomal RNA", at positions 30 to 523 of the family's 1533-position model. The record is from RNAcentral.
AUUGAACGCUGGCGGCAGGUCUAACACAUGCAAGUCGAGCGGAUGACGGGAGCUUGCUCCUUGAUUCAGCGGCGGACGGGUGAGUAAUGCCUAGGAAUCUGCCUGGUAGUGGGGGACAACGUUUCGAAAGGAACGCUAAUACCGCAUACGUCCUACGGGAGAAAGCAGGGGAACUUCGGGUCUGGCGCUAUCAGAUGAGCCUAGGUCGGAUUAGCUAGUGGGUGUGGUAAUGGCUCACCAAGGCGACGAUCCGUAACUGGUCUGAGAGGAUGAUCAGUCACACUGGAACUGAGACACGGUCCAGACUCCUACGGGAGGCAGCAGUGGGGAAUAUUGGACAAUGGGCGAAAGCCUGAUCCAGCCAUGCCGCGUGUGUGAAGAAGGUCUUCGGAUUGUAAAGCACUUUAAGUUGGGAGGAAGGGCAGUAAGUUAAUACCUUGCUGUUUUGACGUUACCGACAGAAUAAGCACCGGCUAACUCUGUGCCAGCAGCCGCGGUAA